Heterocephalus glaber (naked mole-rat) is the source of this 2111-nucleotide long non-coding RNA. Lineage: Eukaryota; Metazoa; Chordata; Mammalia; Rodentia; Bathyergidae. The record is from Ensembl.
CCCACUUCCUGCCUGCUUCUGGCCCCUGCUCCUGUGCCUGGUCUCCAGUCUCACUCCCACACCGCACCUGGGCCUCCUCUAGCCCUGUCUUCUGCCCGAGGCCGCAAUGUGCCAGGGUUGUAAGUGCCAAAGAAAACCACCUUUGUCUGGCUAAGACACUAACUGCUGGGCUCAGCUACUGCAGGAAAAGCAGCCCUGAUCAGCGAUCCUCCAGCCUCCCACAGACUGCGACAUCUGACAUCUUCAGAUAACACCCAAGCAUGGGCAGGGACUGGCCAAUCCUGUUCUUUAAAGUGAAACAGUGUUUACUGUUCAAGGAGAUAGCCCCUUUUCUAAAGAAUUACAGGGACUGGCCUAAGAGAAGAAAGUCGAUUGUUGUCUCCAGGGCGUUCUGGCAGGAGAGAAAGGAAAACUCAGGCCCCGAUGACCAGAGGCCCUCAGCACACGCCCGCCCGGCCUCCUGCCCUUGGCCCUGGAGCUCUCUUUCCACUUCUGCUACCUGGGUCCCCUAACGAGGCUUGCUGGGGGACCAUGGCGCCCGCUCUCCUUCCUGUCCACUGAUCUCCCGAGCAUUGGCUUCUGAGUGGCGAGCGGGUGGUCUCGGGUCCAGCGGCGCAGUCCCUUGGAGAGCAGCGGCUUUGUGAUCAGCAGUCAGGUCCACAGCUGCUCAGGGGUGACCUUUCUCUGAGUCAAGGAAACUCCGGGACUUCAGCACUGCGCUGGUGCUCAGAGGCCCAGUCUCUCAGGAACACAGGAAAGCAGGCCAAACACGAACACACAGCAAGCGCCCGGCGCCUCUGGGACCCAUCUGCUCACCUGGUGCUCUCGGCCUCUUGGAUCCGGAGUCACUGGGUCUCCUCACUCACUUGUCGUCUGCCCCCUCCCCCCGCCCCAUGAGUGAGCCCCCUUGCUGGCAGCUCCACCCGUGUCCCCAGCAACCCAGCUGACAAAGGCCGGGGGUGAGUGUCUGCUCCGUGGGAACACACCGCUCCGUGUGCAAGCACUUAAGAUGGAGCCUGGGCCUGUUGAGAGAGGCAAGUGCCCCACCGCUGCCCUGAUCUCCCCUCAACAAGCCCUCCCUGAGCCACGCUGAAAUUGCCACCCCAGCGAACGAGGAGGCCAGCAGAAGUGACAGCAGCAGCAAGACCCUCCCAGUGCUCCAGGGGUGCAGAGCAAGUGGCCAAGGCAGCAGGGUGGGAGUGCCCGCCGUGGGGUCUCUGCUCCCUGGAAGGGCACUGUGACACCACGAUGGCCUCCACCUGUGCCCGGCAGACCUGGAGGACAGUCAUCUGUCCGGCCUCGCAUCCCAGCCAACCGCAGAGCAGAGCUGCCUAACUCAACGCUUCCGUACUGCCACUCCCCAGUGACAGAGUGACGGCCAUGCACACAGCACCCCACCCCUUCACGUGCCAGAGGUCCUCAUCCUUGCGAGGAGACGCGGACUCUCUGCCCGUGCUGCACCGCCGCCUUCUGCAGUGUCACAGCCAGCCCUGGAAUCUGGUGCCGGAAAUUCUCCGACUGCCCUUCCUGCCUCUCCCUCUCUUCCUCCUCUCUCCUCUCCUUUUCUCUUUUCUUUUCUUUGCAUCCUUCUUUCUUUUCAGUAAUAAGGAUUGAGCCCAGGGUCUUUGCACUGACCUACAUUCCCAUCCUUUUUUUUUUCCUGUACUGGAAAUGGAACUCAGGACCUUGUGCUUACCAGGCAGGUGCACCACCACUGAGCUAAAUCCCCAGCCUUUGGGGUUUUCUUUUUGAGACAGGGUCUUGCUCUGUAGUUCAGGCUGUCCUUGAACCCACUGUGUAGCCCAGGCAGGCCUUGAACUCACAGCAAUCCUCCUGCCUCAGCUUCCCGGGUUCUGCAAUUACAGGUGUGUGCCACCUCACCCAGCUUUAUGUUUUGAGAAAGCGUCUUGUUAAAUUGUUGAGUUGCCCAAGCCGUGCUCAAACGUGUGACCCUCCGGCCUCAGCCUCCUGAGUGCUGGGAUCCCAGGAGUGUAGCUCCACGCCCAGCUGUAUGAUCUGCCCAAGUAACAGCUGCUACUGAAGACGACUACUUGGGAAUAGUGACUGAUGAGUGGAACAGGGCCGUGUGGCACCCAGGGAAUCGCUGGGCC